This 1313-nucleotide long non-coding RNA is filed under the name Cicer arietinum (chickpea). RNAcentral describes it as "long non-coding RNA (CARI_LNC001592)". The record is from RNAcentral. Lineage: Eukaryota; Viridiplantae; Streptophyta; Magnoliopsida; Fabales; Fabaceae.
ACUACCACUACUACUACUAAUACAGUUUAUCGGUAUACCUUUAACUCUCAUAUUGAUUUAACAUACAACUUUUCGUUAUAUUAUUCUAUGUCUUGUUAUUUAACUUUCCUUCAUCCAGCUCAAAUCACAUAGAAAAACAAAAUUUUAUCAUUUUUUCUGGAAUGGAAGCUACACCGAUGUUCUCUUUAAUAAUUGUAGUUUUAACUUUAUCAUGUUUUUUUGACUAUUUAUUUAUCUUGACAUUCUCAUAUCCGCGAAUUUCGUUUUAUUUUUUAAUAACACCCAACAUUCAAUUUCAUGCAUCAUUGUAUGUCUUAUACUUGAAUACAAAUUUUCUCUUGGAUCCUUUUAAUUUAUUUAUUUUUAUAAAAAUCUCUUGGAUCUUGAGACUUGAAUAACUCCCUGCAGCUUGGAUCUUGGUUGGCUUAUAACUCCAAGGAUUAAUUCGGUGAUAUCCUUAAUUCUUGACCAUCUCAAUAAUGAAAUAAUAAAUAAUUUUUAUAUUUCUAAUGAUCUAAAUUAUACAUAAAUGUGUUGAUAUAUAGUAAUUAUAAACACGAAGGCAUUAAACAUAAAUGUAUAAAAACAAACAUAAUUGUAUCCACAAGUGUGUCACACCAUGUAUAUUUAUGAUAAGCAAGCAAUCUACAAAUUACUUACACUGGGAAUUCCAUAGUCUGGAGAUUCAUCAAUAUGUAUAAUCAAGGGGCAAAAAAGAUCCAUGCAAUCUGAAGAAUUAAAUAUCUAGUGGAAAAACAUUUGUAAAAGAAAAAAGAAUGAAAAGAAAAAAAGAAUUUAAUGUCCAGGGCCUUUUUUGCUGGGUCCAGAAGCUAAUAUAAAAGCCAUGCUGUGCUUUGAAUCACGAUUUCUGGAAUUGUUAGAAGAAACAAAAGAUGUCACCCCAUCUACACGUUUGGAUUGAAGAACUCUGCUAUGAACAAAACAGAGUUGUGAUGAUGACAUCACAACCAUCAUGAUAACCAAAACAAUCAUUAGACUUUUCUUCAUUGCAAACUUUUGUUUCCAAUUCCUUUCACAAUAUUCCUUAAGCCUUUUGAUGUAUAUUUUUAUUUCAAGAAGUUAUAUUUAUUUUGGGAUAAACGAGGAGCCACUAUAGUUGGUUUAUAUACAAAAUAAUUGGUAUGAGGACGGUGAAGAGCUUUCCAAGUGGGCCCUUUAAAAGCUGAAUGUUGAUUUGACUUUAAGUGCUUCUUUGGAGUAAUAUGAUUUGAAGAAUUUGUGUUAUAUACCGGCCUUAUAAUCGAUGUUUUCUCACUUGGGUAUUUUCUUGUUUUGAAAUUGUUGACUUUAAC